CCUACGGGUGGCAGCAGUGGGGAAUAUUCGGCAAUGGGGGAAACUCUGACCCAGCAACGCCGCGUGAAUGAUGAAGGUCUUCGGAUUGUAAAGUUCUGUUCUAAGGGAAGAAGAAAGUGACGGUACCUUAGGAAUAGGCUGCGGGUAACUACUUGCAAGCAGCCGCGGUAAUAUGUAGGAGGCAAGCGGUAACCGGAAUGAAUGGGCGGAAAGGCUGAGUAGGUCGUUCAGCAAGUUAGUAGCGUAAUUCCGGGGGUCAAAUUCGGGACUACUACUAAAACUGUUGGACUUGAGUUAAGGAGGGGCAACUGGAAUUUCUAGUGUAGCGGUGGAAUGCGUAGAUAUUAGGAAGAACACCAGUGGCGAAGGCGAGUUGCUGGAUUGUAACUGACACUGAGGCACGAAAGCGUGGGGAGCAAACAGGAUUAGAUACCCUAGUAGUC
This 443-nucleotide ribosomal RNA is filed under the name uncultured bacterium. Its description in RNAcentral is "partial 16S ribosomal RNA". It matches the Rfam family "Bacterial small subunit ribosomal RNA", at positions 338 to 795 of the family's 1533-position model. The record is from RNAcentral.